GCUCUCUUCCGGAGUUUCGCCCUAUUGGGGGGGGCGACCCGCGUCUUCGUAUACCUCUUCGUGUAAAAAGUCUUUGAAUGUUAUCAUCAUCAUCGAGUCGCGACUUCUAGGAGACGCGAUUCUUUGAGACAAAAGUUAUUACAACUUUCAGCAACGGAUCUCUUGGCUCUCUCAUCGAUGAAGAACGCAGCGAAUCGCGAUAUGUAAUGUGAAUUGCAGAUCUACAGUGAAUCAUCGAAUCUUUGAACGCACCUUGCGCUCCUCGGUGUUCCGAGGAGCAUGCCUGUUUGAGUGUCAGUAAAUUCUCAACCCCUCUCGAUUUGCUUCUACAGGGUGCUUGUAUGUUGGGGGCUGCCGGAGACACUGGACUCUUCCAGGACUCGGGCUCCUCUUAAAUGAAUCGGCUUGCGGUCGACUUUCUACUUUGCAUGACAAGGCCUUUGGCGUGAUAAUGAUCGCCGUUCGCCGAAAUGCAAAACAGAACGGUCCCGUGCCUCUAAUGCGUCGACACCUCUCGGGGCCGUCUUCCUCAUUGACGUUUGACCUCAAAUCACGUAGGACUACCCGCUGAA
This 572-nucleotide ribosomal RNA is filed under the name Suillus cf. brevipes DL-2015. RNAcentral describes it as "eukaryotic LSU rRNA". The stretch from base 143 to 297 matches the Rfam family "5.8S ribosomal RNA". The record is from RNAcentral. Lineage: Eukaryota; Fungi; Basidiomycota; Agaricomycetes; Boletales; Suillaceae.